GUAAAAUGAUAGUUUUGCUUCAACUAGUUUUCCUUUCGGUAGCUUUUGGAGGUAAAUCCAUCCUUUCAGUUAAAGAUGGUUGGGGUACUCUGGGAGUUAAUAACAUGCAGCAGAAUUCUAAAAAUGCCCUUCUUUCUAGGUGUCCAGUCAGAGGUCCAGCUGGUGGAGUCUGGAGGAGACGUGAAAAGGCCGGGGGAAUCCCUCCGCCUCUCCUGUCGAGCCUCUGGGUUUAACUUUGGGGGCUAUGGCAUGCACUGGGUGAGACAGGCUCCUGGGAAGGGCCUGGAAUGGGUGGCCUCCAUAAACUACAAUUCAGCUACAAUUCACUACUUGGAUAAAGUGAAGGGAAGAUUCACCAUCUCCAGG
Molecule: non-coding RNA, 366 nt
Organism: Podarcis lilfordi (Lilford's wall lizard)
Lineage: Eukaryota; Metazoa; Chordata; Lepidosauria; Squamata; Lacertidae
Source: the annotation of a GenBank genome assembly